UACGUAGGGUGCAAGCGUUAAUCGGAAUUACUGGGCGUAAAGCGUGCGUAGGCGGCUAUGUAAGACAGAUGUGAAAUCCCUGGGCUUAACCUGGGAACUGCAUUUUGUGACUGCAUUGCUAGAGUGUGGUAGAGGGAGAUGGAAUUCCGCAUGUAGCAGUGAAAUGCGUAGAUAUGCGGAGGAACACCAAUGGCGAAGGCAAUCUCCUGGACCUGCACUGACGCUCAUGCACGAAAAGCGUGGGGGAGCAAAACAGG
This 257-nucleotide ribosomal RNA is filed under the name uncultured bacterium. RNAcentral's name for it is "partial 16S ribosomal RNA". It matches the Rfam family "Bacterial small subunit ribosomal RNA", at positions 524 to 776 of the family's 1533-position model. The record is from RNAcentral.